This is a small nucleolar RNA of Fundulus heteroclitus (mummichog), 201 nucleotides long. Its record names the gene SNORA74. It matches the Rfam family "Small nucleolar RNA SNORA74". From Rfam's summary of the family: U19 belongs to the H/ACA class of snoRNAs. snoRNAs bind a number of proteins (including dyskerin, Gar1p and Nop10p in the case of the H/ACA class) to form snoRNP complexes. NCBI's taxonomy places the organism in Eukaryota, Metazoa, Chordata, Actinopteri, Cyprinodontiformes, Fundulidae. The record is from Ensembl.
CCCAGCUCUAAGUCAGCUGACCAGGCCCUGAGUGCCUGGUUCAGUGUUACAGGGCUGGCAGAGAAAGCCUCUGCACUGUGUCUCAGCAGCGCCCCCUCUGUUUUAGAGGCUGUCGCUGCUGGGCUGCUGCAGAGCACGGCCCAAAGAGAGUGGCUCGUCCUGGUUCUACAGCGGGACGGGCCUAGUAGAGGGCUGCACAGU